Molecule: ribosomal RNA, 253 nt
Filed under: uncultured bacterium
Lineage: Bacteria
Description: partial 16S ribosomal RNA
Rfam family: Bacterial small subunit ribosomal RNA
Source: RNAcentral
UACGAAGGGGGCUAGCGUUGUUCGGAAUUACUGGGCGUAAAGCGCACGUAGGCGGACAUUUAAGUCAGGGGUGAAAUCCCAGAGCUCAACUCUGGAACUGCCUUUGAUACUGGGAGUCUUGAGUAUGGAAGAGGUGAGUGGAAUUCCGAGUGUAGAGGUGAAAUUCGUAGAUAUUGGGAGGAACACCAGUGGCGAAGGCGGCUCACUGGACCGGUUCUGACGCUGAUGCGCGAAAGCGUGGGGAGCAAACGGG